GCAGUGAUGGUUCAGUGGUAGAAUUCCCAUCUUCCACAUGGAAGACCCAGGUUUGAUUCCUGGCCAAUGAA
This 71-nucleotide transfer RNA is filed under the name Loxodonta africana (African savanna elephant). It matches the Rfam family "tRNA". From Rfam's summary of the family: Transfer RNA (tRNA) molecules are approximately 80 nucleotides in length. Their secondary structure includes four short double-helical elements and three loops (D, anti-codon, and T loops). Further hydrogen bonds mediate the characteristic L-shaped molecular structure. tRNAs have two regions of fundamental functional importance: the anti-codon, which is responsible for specific mRNA codon recognition, and the 3' end, to which the tRNAs corresponding amino acid is attached (by aminoacyl-tRNA synthetases). tRNAs cope with the degeneracy of the genetic code in two manners: having more than one tRNA (with a specific anti-codon) for a particular amino acid; and 'wobble' base-pairing, i.e. permitting non-standard base-pairing at the 3rd anti-codon position. The record is from Rfam by way of RNAcentral. Lineage: Eukaryota; Metazoa; Chordata; Mammalia; Proboscidea; Elephantidae.